CCUACGGGGCACCAGUGGGGAAUUUUCCGCAAUGGGCGAAAGCCCGACGGAGCAAUGCCGCGUGGAGGUAGAAGGCCCACGGGUCGUGAACUUCUUUUCCCGGAGAAGAAGCAAUGACGGUAUCUGGGGAAUAAGCAUCAGCUAACUCUGUGCCAGCAGCCGCGGUAAUACAGAGGAUGCAAGCAUUAUCCGGAAUGAUUGGGCGUAAAGCGUCUGUAGGUGGCUUUUUAAGUCCGCCGUCAAAUCCCAGGGCCCAACCCUGGACAGGCGGUGGAAACUACCAAGCUGGAGUACGGUAUGGGCAGAGGGAAUUUCCGGUGGAGCGGUGAAAUGCGUAGAGAUCGGAAAGAACACCAACGGCGAAAGCACUCUGCUGGGCCGACACUGACACUGAGAGACGAAAGCUAGGGGAGCGAAUGGGAUUAGAUACCCCUGUAGUC
Molecule: ribosomal RNA, 440 nt
Filed under: uncultured bacterium
Lineage: Bacteria
Description: bacterial SSU rRNA
Rfam family: Bacterial small subunit ribosomal RNA
Source: RNAcentral